Molecule: ribosomal RNA, 238 nt
Filed under: uncultured bacterium
Lineage: Bacteria
Description: partial 16S ribosomal RNA
Rfam family: Bacterial small subunit ribosomal RNA
Source: RNAcentral
UACGUAGGGUCCGAGCGUUGUCCGGAAUUACUGGGCGUAAAGAGCUCGUAGGUGGUUUGUCGCGUUGUUCGUGAAAACUCACAGCUCAACUGUGGGCGUGCGGGCGAUACGGGCAGACUAGAGUACUGCAGGGGGAGACUGGAAUUCCUGGUGUAGCGGUGGAAUGCGCAGAUAUCAGGAGGGAACACCGGUGGCGAAGGCGGGUCUCUGGGCAGUAACUGACGCUGGAGGAGCGAAA